Molecule: ribosomal RNA, 777 nt
Filed under: uncultured Neocallimastigales
Lineage: Eukaryota; Fungi; Neocallimastigomycota; Neocallimastigomycetes; Neocallimastigales
Description: partial large subunit ribosomal RNA
Rfam family: Eukaryotic large subunit ribosomal RNA
Source: RNAcentral
UAUAUCAGUCAUGCAUAGCAUAUCAAUAAGCGGAGGAAAAGAAACUAACAAGGAUUCCCUUAGUAACGGCGAGUGAAGCGGGAAGAGCUCAAAUUUGAAAUCUUCAAGGUUUUACCUUGACGAAUUGUAGUUUAAAGAAGUGUUUUCUGUUGAAGUUUUGGUAAAAGUUCUUUGGAAUAGGACAUCAUAGAGGGUGAGAAUCCCGUAUUUGACCAUUACUUUCAGCUUUGUGAUACACUUUCAAAGAGUCGGAUUGUUUGGGAAUGCAGUCCAAAAUGGGUGGUAAAUUUCAUCUAAAGCUAAAUAUUGGCGAGAGACUGAUAGCGAACAAGUACCGUGAGGGAAAGAUGAAAAGAACUUUGAAAAGAGAGUUAAACAGUACGUGAAAAUUGUCAAAAGGGAAGCGUUUGACACCAGUGUUGUUUUCUCGAAAAUCAAUUAAAAAGAGUUGGAUUUUGUGUUGUAUUGACUUUAUCAGGCUUUCUUCACUCUUUUCCAGCUUUUUUUAAUGCACUUUUCGUUUAACAAGUCAACAUCAGUUUCUUUUGUUGUAAAAAGGUCAUUGGAAGGUGGCUUUCUCUUCGGAGAAGGUGUUUAUAGCCUUUGACUCAUGCAAUCGGAGAGACUGAGGUCUGCAGCGUAGAUCCUUCGGGGUUAGAUACAUUUGUGCUAAGUUAUAGCUUUUCAUAGACAACUUGUUGACUAUGUUUAGUCUUGUAGCUUACUCGCUUAUGCUAUUUUACCUACGCUUAGGAUGUUGAACUCUAUCACACACAG